RNAcentral lists this ribosomal RNA (236 nucleotides) under Aeromonas hydrophila. RNAcentral describes it as "partial 16S ribosomal RNA". It matches the Rfam family "Bacterial small subunit ribosomal RNA", at positions 374 to 602 of the family's 1533-position model. The record is from RNAcentral. Lineage: Bacteria; Pseudomonadati; Pseudomonadota; Gammaproteobacteria; Aeromonadales; Aeromonadaceae.
GGGGGAACCCUGAUGCAGCCAUGCCGCGUGUGUGAAGAAGGYYUUCGGGUUGUAAAGCACUUUCRGCGAGGAGGAAAGGUCAGUAGCUAAUAYCUGCUGGCUGUGACGUUACUCGCARAARAAGCACCGGCUAACUCCGUGCCAGCAGCCGCGGUAAUACGGAGGGUGCAAGCGUUAAUCGGAAUUACUGGGCGUAAAGCGCACGCAGGCGGUUGGAUAAGUUAGAUGUGAAAGCC